RNAcentral lists this ribosomal RNA (244 nucleotides) under uncultured Staphylococcus sp. RNAcentral's name for it is "partial 16S ribosomal RNA". It matches the Rfam family "Bacterial small subunit ribosomal RNA", at positions 96 to 334 of the family's 1533-position model. The record is from RNAcentral. Lineage: Bacteria; Bacillati; Bacillota; Bacilli; Caryophanales; Staphylococcaceae.
CGGUGGACGGGUGAGUAACACGUGGAUAACCUACCUAUAAGACUGGGAUAACUUCGGGAAACCGGAGCUAAUACCGGAUAAUAUAUUGAACCGCAUGGUUCAAUAGUGAAAGACGGUUUUGCUGUCACUUAUAGAUGGAUCCGCGCCGCAUUAGCUAGUUGGUAAGGUAACGGCUUACCAAGGCAACGAUGCGUAGCCGACCUGAUAGGGUGAUCGGCCACACUGGAACUGAGACACGGUCCAG